AACGAACGCUGGCGGCAGGCUUAACACAUGCAAGUCGAACGCCCGAGCAAUCGGGAGUGGCAGACGGGUGAGUAACACGUGGGAACAUGCCCUUUGGUUCGGAACAACGCCGGGAAACUGGCGCUAAUACCGGAUACGCCCUGGCCGCGAGGUUGGGGGAAAGGCUCGCUGCCGAAGGAUUGGCCCGCGUUCGAUUAGCUGGAUGGCGGGGUAACGGCCCACCAUGGCGACGAUCGAUAGCUGGUCUGAGAGGAUGGCCAGCCACAUUGGGACUGAGACACGGCCCAAACUCCUACGGGAGGCAGCAGUGGGGAAUAUUGGACAAUGGGCGCAAGCCUGAUCCAGCCAUGCCGCGUGAGUGAUGACGGCCUUAGGGUUGUAAAGCUCUUUCGCCCGCGACGAUAAUGACGGUAGCGGGAGAAGAAGCCCCGGCUAACUUCGUGCCAGCCGCCGCCGUAAAAC
RNAcentral lists this ribosomal RNA (462 nucleotides) under uncultured bacterium. RNAcentral's name for it is "bacterial SSU rRNA". It matches the Rfam family "Bacterial small subunit ribosomal RNA", at positions 29 to 526 of the family's 1533-position model. The record is from RNAcentral.